Molecule: long non-coding RNA, 577 nt
Filed under: Nicotiana benthamiana
Lineage: Eukaryota; Viridiplantae; Streptophyta; Magnoliopsida; Solanales; Solanaceae
Description: long non-coding RNA (NBEN_LNC011322)
Source: RNAcentral
CACUACGCGGUUGCACUCACCCUUAUGCGAAUGCACAUACCAACAUACCAAACCUAUGCAAUCGCACAGACUCUCAUGCAAUCGCAUAGAACAACUUUUAACCCCUUCUAAAACCUCAUAUGCGAUCGCAAUGCACCCUAUGCGAUCGCGUAGGGCAAUAUCUUUGCAACACACCAGCAGUUUUCUUCAACUUCCUAAAUCAAAAAACCUUCUGUUUAACCAUCCGAAAUCACCCCGAGGCCCCCGAGACCUCAACCAAAAGCACAGACAUGAUCUAUUACCUUAUUCAAACUUGCUCAAAUCAUCACUACACUAACGUUAACAUCAAAAUCCUCAAUUAUGAUUAAAUCAAAGCCUAAAUUUUUUAAAAACAUUCGAAUUGCAUUUUUGAUCAAAAACUCAACCCAAACACCUUCUAAUGACCUAACACUUUGCACGCAUAUCCAAAAUCAUCUAAAGGAUUAAUUGAUGCCUCAUGUAAAGCAGAUGAUUAAAAUUCACAAGAGUAAAUCCAUAACCAUCUUUCUCGAUAAGCCCCUUGUUGUUGUGCAUCCAUUGACAGCAUUUGAACUUCUUG